AUGUCGUCGCUCCACAGGUGCCUGCCGUGGCUGAUCCUCCUCCUGGUGCUCCGCGACGGCGGCGGGGGGACGGCGGUGGCGGCUGCCGGGAAGGUGCCGGCGAUCAUCGUGUUCGGCGACUCCUCGGUGGACACGGGCAACAACAACUUCAUCCCGACCAUCGCGCGGAGCAACUUCUGGCCCUACGGGCUCGACUUCGCGGACGGCCACCCCACGGGCCGCUUCUCCAACGGCCGCCUCGCCACCGACUUCAUCUCGGAGGCCUUCGGCCUGCCGGCCUCCAUCCCGGCCUACCUCGACACCACGCUCACCAUCGACGACCUCGCCGCGGGCGUCUCCUUCGCGUCCGCCUCCACCGGCCUCGACAACGCCACCGCCGGCAUCCUGUCCGUGAUCACCAUGGCGGAGCAGCUCGAGUACUUCAAGGAGUACAAGCUGCGGCUGAAGCUGGCCAAGGGCGACGCGCGCGGCGAGGAGAUCAUCCGCGAGGCGCUCUACAUCUGGAGCAUCGGCACCAACGACUUCAUCGAGAACUACUACAACCUGCCGGAGCGCCGGAUGCAGUACACGGCGGCGGAGUACGAGGCGUACCUGCUGGGGCUCGCCGAGUCGUCCAUCCGCGCCGUGCACGCGCUCGGCGGCAGGAAGAUGGACUUCACGGGGCUCACGCCCAUGGGCUGCCUCCCCGCCGAGCGCAUGGGCAACCGCGGCGACCCCGGGCAGUGCAACGAGGAGUACAACGCCGUCGCCCGGAGCUUCAACGCCAAGCUGAAGCAGGCCGUCGUCCCCAAGCUCAACAAGGAGCUCCCCGGCCUCCACCUCGUCUACGCCGACACCUACGACGUCCUCGACGCCGUCGUCAGGAAGCCGGCCGACUACGGUUUUGAGCACGCAGAGCGAGGGUGCUGCGGGACGGGGAUGUUCGAGGCCGGCUACUUCUGCAGCCUGAGCACCUCGCUGCUAUGUACGAACCCCAACAAGUACGUCUUCUUCGACGCCAUCCAUCCCACGGAGAGGAUGUACAAUAUGCUUGCCGAUAAAGUCAUGAACACCACGCUUCAUGUAUUUCUCUGA
Molecule: ribosomal RNA, 1074 nt
Filed under: Triticum aestivum (bread wheat)
Lineage: Eukaryota; Viridiplantae; Streptophyta; Magnoliopsida; Poales; Poaceae
Description: partial small subunit ribosomal RNA
Source: RNAcentral